AUACUUACCUGGCAGGGGAGAUAACAUGACUAAGUGAAGGUGGUUCACUCAGGAAUGAGGCUCAGCUGGCUGUGACUGGUUGUGUUGACUCAAACAUGCACUCCCAAAAUGUGAAUCUCGACUGCAUAAUUUGUGGUGGUGUGGGGACUGCGCCCGCCUCCCCUGA
Small nuclear RNA from Hippoglossus stenolepis (Pacific halibut), 166 nucleotides. RefSeq annotates it as U1 spliceosomal RNA. The record is from RefSeq and is a predicted model, not a curated record. The transcript has a single exon. NCBI's taxonomy places the organism in Eukaryota, Metazoa, Chordata, Actinopteri, Pleuronectiformes, Pleuronectidae.